Molecule: long non-coding RNA, 4439 nt
Organism: Vicia villosa (hairy vetch)
Lineage: Eukaryota; Viridiplantae; Streptophyta; Magnoliopsida; Fabales; Fabaceae
Exons: 3
Source: RefSeq, a predicted model, not a curated record
ACAACCUGGUUUAGGGUUUCUCACUUCAUCUCAUGGUUUCUUUCUCUCGUGUCUACAAUAAUACUGCAGAACAAAGAAGAAGAUCCAUAACUCAUAAACAAGAAAUCAACACAUUUUUAAUCGCAAAUCUAACCGUUCUUCCAAAGCCAAAACCUAUCUUUUCAAACCCAAAACCUUACCGAAGGAGAAAACUUUCAUUGAAUCGUAUACAAUUUUCCCUCUCUCGAACAUAUUAUGGUUCUUUCAUCAUCCCUUUGAGUAAAAAAUGGCAGAAUCGCGGUUCAAGCAAUACACGUACAUCCCCCAAAACCCUCUACCCCUCUCCCCUCCUUCUAUAAUCCCAAUACCCAACCCCUUCGACAUGUACCGCGUCAAAAAUGACACCGUCGUAUUCCCAGCCAUCCACGUCGAAGACGAAAGCAUCUUCCCAGUCAUUGAGACGGCGUCUACCAACCAAAGUCCAAGAGAACCCGCGCCGCCUAUGACAAUCUCCUCACCCUCAUCCAGCAGCCCUUCCCCGGCCAGCCGCUCAGUACAGUUAGAUUCGUCGCCGAUAAGAUUCUCUAAAUUCUCAAAAACAAUGCCGUUGAUUACCAUGACAAGAGGAUCAAAGUUGAGAUGCUUCUUAACCCUAUCCCUAAUCAUGUUUUUGAUUAUCUUGUUUCGGUUGGUAAGUUUAUAACUGAUUUCUAUGGGUUUGCUGCUGGUCAUGUUAUCGGCGGUGUUGUCGACGGUGUCCGGAGUUUAUCCAUUUGCAACGAUAGAUAGAACAUUAUGAUGUAGUUACUUUCUGCAUUCAAGAAUUAUGUGAAUAGUUGCGGUCAGUGUGGUAGCUGUGAUGCACAUUGCUGCGUGAGUUUUAAUUGGAUUUCUAUGGGUAUGCUCUGCUGUCUUUGAUUCCUCACAAGCAUCGUUCUUUCUUCUUCCGAAGCUCUCCUUUUCACACAUGGAUCCUAACCAGGUAAGUCAUGUUUUUCUCCCAUCAUUCUCAGAUCUGGAUUCGUACUCUCAUCCAUGAUUUCCAUUUCAUUUCCUCUAUCGAUUCACAUAAGAUUCAUGUGAUUAGUAUAAUUUUCAUAUGCGUGGAGUCUAUAAUUGAAAACACCUUGGACAUUGAUAGAGAACACCUUGGAAUUCCUGAGGCUGAAUAUCAUGCCAUUGUUAGGAUGCGAUCUGCUAAGUUUGCUAGGAUUUGCAAAGAUCUUAGUAGCAACUAGCUAGCUCACACCACUAGAGAUUCUAUUUUACACAUGUGAGUUUCUUGUAUUUCUUCAUUCAUAACACUAUAUUGUUCAGUGCAUAUAGAUAUAGAUAUGGAUUGUGAUUUGGGUUUAGUCAAAAUUUUCAGAGUUAGUCAUGUUUCAUGAUCUUGUGUUGUCGGUAUAUCUCUCUAUGUUGUCUUGCUCCUCUAAUUUUAAUUUUUAUUAAUUAUUUGAUUUCGUUGGUUUCGACUCGACUUGGUGAGCAUAUUCAGAAUUUCAUUUGACUUAAUAUUUAAUACUUUCGCUUUAUGAUUGUGAAGGGGAUUUUCAAUAAUACCCUGUUUUUGUCAAAACACAAACUGGAAAUAAAAUUGGUCCUCAGGUGAGACCUGAUUUCAUCACAAAGCUUUAUAGAUUUACAUAAAGAAACAUAUGGAAGAUAAAAAUGAAAUUUCUGAGGUAGCUGUUACUACUACAUGUGGUUUCUCCAUGGAAAUGGCCGUUUGGUAUGAACUUUUUCUCUUGCAUUAAGAUGAUGUUUAAAUUCUAGUGUAUCAUAAUGUCAUAAUGAAUUAUAAUCUAUCUUUUCUAUAGCAUUUUCUUAUUAAAUAAUCCAUUCAUAGAGAACAAAAAGGUAUUCACACAAAACUCUAUUAAUUAUUGUAUAUUUAGUAUUUUGUGUUUUUCUACUCUUGUUUAGUUAAUUUUAAUGUUAAAGAGCUGGUUUAGGUUUAAGGUUAAACCUUAAAUAAUAAAGAUGUUUAGACAAUAGAAUAAAUGUAUUAGAUAAUGAAAACAAUAGUUAUUUUUUUUGUUGGUGAUAUUGCUCUUUAUAAGAUUGAUAAUGGAGGAAUAAAUGGAAUUCCUUCUACACCUCACUGUUUGUGAGAUCAACAUUUGUAUGAGAAAUUUGUAGUAGUUGAUGACAUGGAUGAGGGUAUGUAUGCUAUUUAACAUGCAUGUGCUAACCUUUUAUUUUAUCUUAUGUUGAAUCUUGGUCAUAUGCUAUGAAGCACAGACUACGACACGGACACCGGGACACGACACGACACGGACACUCCGACACCGAUAAUGUUGAAAAUAUAGGACACCGACACCGCUGCAUAUAAGCUAAUAUUUGAGUUUCAUUUAUCCAUAUAUUGAUCAAAAUUAAUGUCCGAAAUUCUUUAUUGAUAACAUUGUUUCAAUACAUGUUUAACUCUUUUAAAUGUGUGUGAGAUUUGUCCAAAAAAAUAUAUAAAUGUGUGUUGGAGCAAAGAAAUAAAACAAAUUUUUGUUUGAAAUAUUUGUCUUGAGUUGUCCGAAAUAUGUGGUAUGGUGUCAUACGAGUGUCGGACUCUGAUUAAAAGAGUGUCGAAGCAAAGAAAAAAACCAUUUUUUAGAGGACACUUGUUUGACUUUUCCGACACGUGUCGUACGGGUGUCAUACAAGCGUCGGACACCGACGCGUGUCGGACACCGCGACACGCCUACUCCUAGAGGUGUCCGUGCUUCAUAGGUCAUAUGUUCCUGUUUUACUAUGUAAUUUUAUUAAGUUACUAUUGUUGCUCUCAUAUGAGGAAUCAACCUAAUUAAGUUUCAAAUUAGAUUUUAACUAGAUAUUAAUUGAUUUAUUAAUCCACAUUUGUUAUCUGAUAGGUUUUCUUCAUUUUUAAGCAGUAUCAGGUAUAUUCGUGUUGGCUCUCUAUGUAUUAGGUAUUAGGAAAAAUAUGUAAAAAUAUAUGAUGUUUCUUUCUAUUUAUUUGGUUGUGUAUGUUUUCUUGCUUAAAAACUGAAAUUAUUGUCAUAUCAAUCUUUAGGAAGAGAAAUAGAGAGGAUGAACAGGAUAUGAGCAUCUCAAUGAGCCACUUCACAUAUUGUUGACAGGAGGCUUAGGCAGGCUUAUGAAUUUAUAGAAGAAAUGAUAAAUUUUGUGGUAAGUUCAUUCACUAUGAGUAUUCAUCUUCUCAAAUAAGCAUUAGGUUGUGUAAGGUGUCUUAUGUACUAGUCUACUUUGCUUUGUCUUAAAACUUGUAUUAAGAUACUGAUUACUGAAUGUCUAUACAUAUUUAGAAGAUUUAGAGCUCCUAAUAAAAGGUGAUGAAACAAAUGUUUAAUGGUUUCAAGGUAUGUUGCUCAAUUCUCUAAAUACGAGUAAUGUCAUUUGAUUCUUUGAAGUGAGAUACAAAACUUCCCGACCUAUAUUUUAAUGUCCUGCUUUGUAUAUAUCACAUAUCAUAUUAUUUGUUUGAAUAUGAUUACCUCGUGUACUAAUAUUUUAAUAUAUUCUCUUUUGGUGCUUCAAAAGAAAUUUAUUUAGGUAAUAUAUAUAUCUUUUUGGAAUUUAAAGAAAAUAUAAUUAGUUAUUGAACUAAAUACAUGGCUAUUUUGGAGGUAGCAGAACCCACAUGCAAAAGUAGAAAGAUUGGGCAGAAAUAGAAAUGUAAGGCCAAAUGCUUAUUAAAAAAAGGAAAUGGAAGGCCAGUGUAUUCAUAAUAAAAGUGCUGGACUAAACUUUUCUAAUUGAAAUUAAAGGCAUUUUGUAGGCAGGAGAUGGAAGAGGGGCCAUGUCUGUACUUUCAUAUAAAUGAAAAACUGUAACUAGCUGGUUCCACUAACAAUGUUCCAGUUUGACCAACAUGUUUUUCAAGCUUAAAAUUCAAUAUUGAAGUUUAGCUUUUUAAUUUAAUUUUGAAUAUUUUUUCAAAAAAAUAUUUAGUGUGUUUUUGCUGAAACUACAUGGGCAGGUGCUGCAUAUUAUUUGAUGUUAUACAUGCUUGCCAAUCAUACAUAUCUUCAGUCCCUUACCCUUAGGCUUGAGGAAAUGAGAGUCAAAAGGCGGGAUUCAGAACAAUGGAUGCAUCAUCGCUUGCUCCCAAAAGAGCCUAGAGAGCGUGUGAGACGGUAUGAUCAAUAUAAGUGGUUGGCAACAUGUGGAGUAGAUGAAGAUAUUUUAGUUCAGAGCCUACUAAAGGAUCUUCGAAGAGAUAUUAAGCGUCAUCUCUGUUUGGCUUUAGUGAGGAGGGUAUGCUGUCACAGCCCUUAAAAUUAGUGAAACACCAAAACACUAUCUGAAAUGUGUGAUGGAUCAACAUAUUAUCUAGGUGCAGAUGUAAAAGAUAGAGCUAACGAGUUCAAUAUUUUUGUUGUUUUUUAGAAAUUCUCAAAGAUAGUUAUAUGUACUUUUAACAUCAAUUUAGCAUUUUAGAAUUUUCAAGUUGUUGUAUAUAUCUUCAAUUCUAUAUAUGUAGAUUUUUU